RNAcentral lists this long non-coding RNA (437 nucleotides) under Zea mays. RNAcentral describes it as "long non-coding RNA (ZMAY_LNC003439)". Lineage: Eukaryota; Viridiplantae; Streptophyta; Magnoliopsida; Poales; Poaceae. The record is from RNAcentral.
AUUUUCGUCUCUUCCUCAUCCCAAAUCAACAAACUCCUCAUCAUAGAUCCUAGUGGUUUUCACACUCUUCAUGCAUAUAGACAAUUUAAACAAUAGACAAGUCAGUUUUUCCAAAUGACAAAAUUUCAUUUGUGUGUGUGUUUGAAUCUGAAAAACGCUAGAAAAUCUAAGAGGAAAUACCCUAUUCAUAUCCUUUACUUGAUUUUGCAGAACUCAGACUGUGGACUGCUAUGUUGAAUUUCUUUGAUGGGAAUGUGCUAGGCGACAAUAUUUGUCAUGGUAAAAAGAUGUUCCAACUAAUAGCUCAGGCAGAAAUAGUUCUACCACAAUUAUGAAAAAUGGAGAAACAUAGCUCCGGGGAAAAUUAGCACACGGAGUCAGAAGCAAUCUACAUUGUAACAACAAUAUUAAUAUAUCAGACAUAAAGUUUACCAAAG